CCUACGGUGGCUGCAGUGGGGAAUAUUGGACAAUGGGCGAAAGCCUGAUCCAGCCAUGCCGCGUGUGUGAAGAAGGCCUUCGGGUUGUAAAGCACUUUCAGUGGGGAAGAAAGCCUUGGGGCUAAUACCCUCGAGGAAGGACAUCACCCACAGAAGAAGCACCGGCUAACUCCGUGCCAGCAGCCGCGGUAAUACGGAGGGUACGAGCGUUAAUCGGAAUUACUGGGCGUAAAGCGCGCGUAGGCGGUCUGAUAAGCCGGUUGUGAAAGCCCCGGGCUCAACCUGGGAACGGCAUCCGGAACUGUCAGGCUAGAGUGCAGGAGAGGAAGGUAGAAUUCCCGGUGUAGCGGUGAAAUGCGUAGAGAUCGGGAGGAAUACCAGUGGCGAAGGCGGCCUUCUGGACUGACACUGACGCUGAGGUGCGAAAGCGUGGGUAGCAAACAGGAUUAGAUACCCUAGUAGUC
This 464-nucleotide ribosomal RNA is filed under the name Vreelandella stevensii. Its description in RNAcentral is "partial 16S ribosomal RNA". It matches the Rfam family "Bacterial small subunit ribosomal RNA", at positions 338 to 795 of the family's 1533-position model. The record is from RNAcentral. Lineage: Bacteria; Pseudomonadati; Pseudomonadota; Gammaproteobacteria; Oceanospirillales; Halomonadaceae.